This 1258-nucleotide ribosomal RNA is filed under the name uncultured fungus. Its description in RNAcentral is "eukaryotic LSU rRNA". The stretch from base 589 to 1258 matches the Rfam family "Eukaryotic large subunit ribosomal RNA", at positions 1 to 649 of the family's 3401-position model. The record is from RNAcentral. Lineage: Eukaryota; Fungi.
AAGUCGUAACAAGGUUUCCGUAGGUGAACCUGCGGAAGGAUCAUUAUUGAAUUCCUUCUGAGACGGGUUGUUGCUGGCCUUUACCGGCAUGUGCACGCCCCGAUCGAAACUUUUCAUACACCUGUGCACACUCUGUAGGGAGAGGGGGUAAAACCCUUCUCUCUAUGUCUUAUAACAUACCCUUCAAAAGUCUUAGAAUGUCAAUAUUAGCUUGUCUUAAAACGCGAGCGAAUUAAAUACAACUUUCAACAACGGAUCUCUUGGCUCUCGCAUCGAUGAAGAACGCAGCAAAAUGCGAUAAGUAAUGUGAAUUGCAGAAUUCAGUGAAUCAUCGAAUCUUUGAACGCACCUUGCGCUCCUUGGUAUUCCGAGGAGCAUGCCUGUUUGAGUAUCAUUAAAUUAUCAACCCUCCAGCUUUGUUGCCGGGGUGGCUUGGAUGUGAAGGUUGCCGGCGCAAGUCAGCUCCUUCUAAAUGCAUUAGCAGAAACUCGUUCCCUGCGAUCGGUGUGAUAAUUAUCUACGCCGUUCCAAGGGGGAGAAAAAGAGGAUCAGCUUCUAACCGUCCUUCGGGACUUACCUUUUCAAUCUUGAUCUCAAAUCAGGUAGGAUUACCCGCUGAACUUAAGCAUAUCAAUAAGCGGAGGAAAAGAAACUAACAAGGAUUCCCCUAGUAACUGCGAGUGAAGCGGGAAAAGCUCAAAUUUAAAAUCUGGCGGUCUUCUGGCCGUCCGAGUUGUAAUCUGGAGAAGCGUCUUCCGCGCCGGACCGUGUACAAGUCUCUUGGAACAGAGCGUCAUAGAGGGUGAGAAUCCCGUCUUUGACACGGACUACCGGUGCUUCUGUGAUGCGCUCUCAAUGAGUCGAGUUGUUUGGGAAUGCAGCUCAAAAUGGGUGGUAAAUUCCAUCUAAAGCUAAAUAUUGGCGAGAGACCGAUAGCGAACAAGUACCGUGAGGGAAAGAUGAAAAGCACUUUGGAAAGAGAGUUAAACAGUACGUGAAAUUGUUGAAAGGGAAACGCUUGAAGUCAGUCGCGUCUGCCGAGGAUCAACCUUGCUCUUUUGCUUGGUGUAUUUCUUGGUUUGACGGGUCAGCAUCAAUUUUGACCAUCGGAUAAAGGCCAGAGGAAUGUGGCAUCUUCGGAUGUGUUAUAGCCUUUGGUCGCAUGCGGUGGUUGGGAUUGAGGAACUCAGCACGCCUUUAUGGCCGGGGUUCGCCCACGUACGUGCUUAGGAUGCUGGCAUAAUGGCUUUAAGCGACC